RNAcentral lists this transfer RNA (68 nucleotides) under Marmota monax (woodchuck). It matches the Rfam family "tRNA". From Rfam's summary of the family: Transfer RNA (tRNA) molecules are approximately 80 nucleotides in length. Their secondary structure includes four short double-helical elements and three loops (D, anti-codon, and T loops). Further hydrogen bonds mediate the characteristic L-shaped molecular structure. tRNAs have two regions of fundamental functional importance: the anti-codon, which is responsible for specific mRNA codon recognition, and the 3' end, to which the tRNAs corresponding amino acid is attached (by aminoacyl-tRNA synthetases). tRNAs cope with the degeneracy of the genetic code in two manners: having more than one tRNA (with a specific anti-codon) for a particular amino acid; and 'wobble' base-pairing, i.e. permitting non-standard base-pairing at the 3rd anti-codon position. Lineage: Eukaryota; Metazoa; Chordata; Mammalia; Rodentia; Sciuridae. The record is from Rfam by way of RNAcentral.
GGUGUUAUGGCUCAGUGGUGGAGCACUUGCCUACCAUGCAUGAGGCAUUUGGUUUGAUCCUGGCACCA